This 502-nucleotide long non-coding RNA is filed under the name Helianthus annuus (common sunflower). Lineage: Eukaryota; Viridiplantae; Streptophyta; Magnoliopsida; Asterales; Asteraceae. The record is from RNAcentral.
GAUUAGAUCAACUUCAUCCUCAAUGGCACCACAACGCUUUCAUGACGUUCGAGAAAGUGCCCGAUCAGAUGUUCCUACCAUGCUCCAUUUGCGCGCAGAGAUCAAAUCAUCUAUCGGUUUUUACACCUAAUUGUGAAUUCAAUUCACUUCACGGAAGUACUGGGAGCUUUGUGUGUUAAUAGGGGUCUUGGGGCGGACCUGUUUCGGAUCUUGUUAAAUUUUAUAAGAACUAUCUUAAAGAUUUGAACAAAAAGGUAUCCGGUCAAUUUUUAAGAAGGCAGCAUGUAGUCAGCUAGGGCUGUGUAACAAUGUCCGAUUUGUGACAGUCACCUCUAUUUCCAUCCCACCCCCAGUUAAGAACAACACAUUGAUUAACGAUGAAGAAGCAUACAGGAUGAUACUGGAGAUCCAGGGUUUGGUCGAAGGUUUCAUGAUAUAGGCAUUAUAAUAUUGCAUGAAUGAACCAGAGCAUGAUGAGGAGCUUCGUGAGUAUAGCUUGCAG